GAUGAACGCCGGCGGUGUGCCUAAUACAUGCAAGUCGUACGCACUGGCCCAACUGAUUGAUGGUGCUUGCACCUGAUUGACGAUGGAUCACCAGUGAGUGGCGGACGGGUGAGUAACGCGUGGGUAACCUGCCUCAUACAGGGGGAUAACAGUUAGAAAUGACUGCUAAUACCGCAUAAGACCACAGGGUCGCAUGACCCGGUGGUAAAAACUCCGGUGGUAUGAGAUGGACCCGCGUCUGAUUAGCUAGUUGGUGGGGUAACGGCUCACCAAGGCGACGAUCAGUAGCCGACCUGAGAGGGUGACCGGCCACAUUGGGACUGAGACACGGCCCAA
RNAcentral lists this ribosomal RNA (336 nucleotides) under uncultured bacterium. RNAcentral's name for it is "bacterial SSU rRNA". It matches the Rfam family "Bacterial small subunit ribosomal RNA", at positions 28 to 334 of the family's 1533-position model. The record is from RNAcentral.